Long non-coding RNA from Carassius gibelio (silver crucian carp), 3079 nucleotides. RefSeq lists it as uncharacterized. The transcript is spliced from 4 exons. The record is from RefSeq and is a predicted model, not a curated record. NCBI's taxonomy places the organism in Eukaryota, Metazoa, Chordata, Actinopteri, Cypriniformes, Cyprinidae.
AGUGGAGGUGACGUAUUUCCGCUCUUGAGUGGCGCUCCACUCGCCCAUAUGUCUGCAGCCAGACCCUCUUGUUUGUUAUGGACAGAAGACUAUUUACAUCAUUAAAUUAAAGUUUACGGAAACCUUGUUUUCCCUCCUCUGCGGCUGUCAAUCAUUCAGUAUUCAAAUAGCGCGCACCUCGUCCAUUUACAGCAGGAUGUAUGAAGGAAAACUUAUACUGGAACAACAGUGUGGGCUGUGAGAUGAGAACAGAGACACACUGAGCUUUAACCACUAACCAUCGACCAACUGCUGACUGAUGAGGAAACAUCAUUAGCUUCUGAGAGACAAAGACAAACUGAACCACAGUGAUCUGAACUGAAGACAGCGACUGUAACACAUUUCAGUUUCAUUCAGCAACAUGAACGGUGAAAAUCAGACCUUGUUAGAUAUCAUAAGGAUUAUCUUCUUCAUCACUAGUGUUUGUGUGGGUCUUCCAGCUCUGGUUUGGGCUUUUCGUCUUCUGUGGCUUCACAGAAAGAUCAGAGACCGAAUCUCAGUCUUCAUCCUCCUCCUCCUCUUCAAUGACCUGAUACAAUUGCCCCUUAAUCUAUAUAUACUGAGAGAUAUACUGACAGAUUUCAGAUACUUUAUCCCUGAGCUUGUUCUGUUUUGGUUGGGAUUACAUUGGUUUGGUUUUCAUCUGCAUCAGCUGGUGGCUCUGGAGGGGAUCUUGACUCUGAAAUAUCCACUUUGGUCUGCUCGUAUUUUCUCACUGCCCUGUUACAUCAUAAUCUCCAUCCUUGUGCUUUUUUUUUCUAUAGUGAGUGCAUUAUUUCUUUUCUCGUAUCCGGAAUUUCAAAUUACAAACAUGUCAUUAUUCAGUCUCAGCACAAGUGUUGUUCCUCUGAUCGUAUUGUCUGUAUCAUCUACAAUCAGCUGUAAAGCCUCUUCCACUCCUGUCAGAAAAAACUGUUCGGUGCUCACUGUUGCUAUUCUUACAUAUGUUUUGAUGUACUUACCUUUCAUGUUCAUCAUCUGUGUGAAUUUCUUUCAUUUACACUCAUAUGUCAGCUCAUCUUGUUGGGUAAUGUUUUUCUGUUUGAUUAAUUCGAGAGUGUUUUCAGACUCUAUUCUGUGUGGUUUGGUCUGCAGAGAAAAUCUCAGAGAUGUUCAGACGCCACAAACACACACAGAACCCAACGCUGAUGAGACGUCAGUCUGAACUUGAGUUUCAUUAGUCCUCACGUCUGAAUCUGGCUUCAAAACAUACACCCAUCAGUAUAAUGAAAAAUUAUUAAUAAAAUAAAUAAUAUAUGACUUAAAGAUUGAUUCAUUUUAAAUGUCUGUUAUUGCUAAAAGUGAAAGUGUGCUCUCUGUGCCACAAACUGCACAAACUGAGUUUCCAUCUCUUUACUGAUCAUUUUGACCGUUUGUUGAAUAUUGUAAUAUAUAAAUAUGUAAAAAAGUCAAAUCUAAAUGGUCAUGUUUGUUGUUUGAUUAAUUUCAAUAUUCAGCAAUUUAAAGCUUUGUAAGGGGCUUCCCAUGAAAAAGUAUAACAUUCAAUGUGAUUUCAGCUGUCAAUCAUCCAUAUAUGAGAAUAAAACAUCUAACACAAUGCAGUUCUGCCCAGCAAAUGAUGAUCACAGAGAUCAUUAACAUUUGGACCUGAAAUGGUAUCAAAACUACAAAUAUAUGAACAUCUCCUACAAAUGAACACAUUACAGUCCUAAGACAUUGUUUUUAAAGACCACAAUAAAAAAUAAAAAAAACCAAAAUACAAAAAUACAAAGACCUUCUUUUUUUUUAGCUUCCGCCUUUGCUAACAUUCGGACGUUCUAUCUUACUGCUCUGUGCUUUGCUUCUUAUUUCUGUACUUUUCUCAGAUUUUUUACUUCAGCAGUUUUUUACUUCAGCAGAUCAGCACAGUGCUCAAACAACAGAUUUUUGGCACAAACGCUAAAACUAAAAACUCUUUGGGACUGGAAUAAUACUACAAAAAUCACCCCCUCAGCAUACAGCCGGUGAGUCCCAUGAAUCUUCUGAAUCUCAAUAGUUUACACCAAGUGUAGAGGAACAAGCCGAAACUGAUCGCCACACUAAUCGAUGGCACACACAGGGAGCGAGACCAAAAGCAACACGAGACAUAUUGCUGCCAUAGCUUCCUCUACUCCAGAUUCGACUAUGACAAGGCUUGUGAAUCCUGGUAUUCUACCACCCCCUAUACAUCUGGAGAACAGAUUUGAAGCAUUAAUGAAUGUGGGUGAGGAAUCCCCAAAUGUGAUUAAACAUGGAUCGGAUCAGCCAGCACUCCGCUACUAACAGGCGCUCAAGGACGAGCAGCUAAGAGCGCAGCCGAACCAAGGACUCUGAUAGUGGGUGACUAUUAUAUAUAUAUGUGUGUGUGUGUGUGUGUUUGUUUCAUAUACUCAUAUAUUUUCAUAUAUAUUCAUUUUUAUAUAUUUGUAAAUAACUUUUCAAUAUACAUUACUCAAACUCUCUAUACUGAGUGAGUUAAAUUGUUCACCAUUCAAAGUGAAUUUGUGCCCUCACAAGACUUGGAGAAUUAAACAUACAUGUAAUUUAUUUAUGUGCUGUCCCAUUUAUGAGCAUUCAUUUUGAUAGACGGAGCCCUGCCUCAGCGCAUUGAGAUCAACAUUGAAUUCAGGAAUCACAACCUAUUUUCCAGUAAGAUAGACUUCUUUUUACAACAAAAAUAUAUACUUUUACAGUGAGUUAAAUGCUUUUCCUUAAAGGGUUAUAGUUUACCCAAAAAAAAUAAAUAAUCAUCUACUCACCCUUGAAUUUUGUGCCCAAAUGUGCUUGCCCAUAUAAUGUCAGUGUAUGGCGAAUAACAUUACGCUGUUAAAAUAGAAGCCAAAGUAUCACAGAGUGGUCUUAUGUAUCGUGAUGUAUAUUCCAAGUGUUCUGCAGGUAUACAAUAAGGUUUAGUGAGAAACAUACUGUAUAACCGCUUCCUCAAAAUGGUAUUAGUUAUAACUCUGUUUUUAUAAGGUGGAAUCACUAACUAUGUUUCAAUACAACCUUCACAAGUCUGUAAUAUAAAAAACAAAUAAAAUAAAAAAAUACUUCACAUUCA